UGGGGAAUAUUGGACAAUGGGCGAAAGCCUGAUCCAGCAAUGCCGCGUGAGUGAAGAAGGCCUUAGGGUUGUAAAGCUCUUUCACCCGCGACGAUGAUGACGGUAGCGGGAGAAGAAGCCCCGGCUAAUUCCGUGCCAGCAGCCGCGGUAAUACGGAAGGGGCUAGCGUUGUUCGGAAUCACUGGGCGUAAAGCGCGCGUAGGCGGCCGGUCAAGUGCGGCGUGAAAGUCCUGGGCUCAACCCGGGGACGGCGCUGCGGACUGUCCGGCUGGAGUCCGGAAGAGGGUGGUGGAAUUCCGAGUGUAGAGGUGAAAUUCGUAGAUAUUCGGAGGAACACCGGUGGCGAAGGCGGCCACCUGGUCCGGUACUGACGCUCAAGCGCGAAAGCGUGGGGAGCAAACAGGAUUAGAUACCCUGGUAGUCCACGCCGUAAACGAUGGGUGCUAGAUGUCGGGGGGCUUGCCCUUCGGUGUCGUAGCUAACGCGUUAAGCACCCCGCCUGGGGAGUACGGCCGCAAGGUU
Molecule: ribosomal RNA, 522 nt
Filed under: uncultured Pseudomonadota bacterium
Lineage: Bacteria; Pseudomonadati; Pseudomonadota
Description: bacterial SSU rRNA
Rfam family: Bacterial small subunit ribosomal RNA
Source: RNAcentral